This is a long non-coding RNA of Gasterosteus aculeatus aculeatus (three-spined stickleback), 1327 nucleotides long. The record is from Ensembl. Lineage: Eukaryota; Metazoa; Chordata; Actinopteri; Perciformes; Gasterosteidae.
ACGUCUAUGUUUAGACCACAUUUCAACGUGAUUUUUUAAUACGGUAAUAUUUCGUCCUCUCUUGUGUGCUAUCUCAUUAUUUUAGAGGUUUAAAAAGAAACUACGUCCACAUUUGUAAGUUUCCCACCGAUAUUAUAAAUCACGUUGAAAACGGGUCUAUACGCGAACGUCUUUUCAACGUCUACGAAUAGACGUUGAAACAACUUUCACUUUUAAACCAUUUUGCAACGUCUUUUCAACGUCGGGCAUAGACGUCUUUUAAAUGUCUUUUCAACGUUGAAAUGCUCGCUGGUUGAAAUGUGGUCUAAACGUAAACGUCUUUUCAACGUCUAUGAAUAGACGUUGAAACAACUUUCACUUUUGAACCAAUUUGCAACCUCUUUUCAACGUCGGGCCAUAGACGUCUUUUAAACGUUGUUUCAACGGAUAAAUUGCUCGCUGGAAACGUACAAGUUACAUACUUAGUCACAGUUGUCAUGUUAACAGCCCUUAACAAGGACAAACACAUUAUUUUAUUAAUUUGCAUUUAUUAUAAAUAUAACACUAUACAUAUAACACUUUUCCUAAUUAAAAAUACAAAAAUAAAAUAUAUAUUUCAGGGAAAUUAACUAUGGAUUUAAAAGUGCAGAAACAACAUUUCUGUGUUCAACAACAACAAUUCUGUGUUUGUAGACCAUUUUUCUGAAUCAUUUGAACUUCAUUUUUAGAUUCUGCAACAAGAUGUGGCUGUGAGUCACUUGAGUUGGGAUAGUAUACCUGAAAUCAGCUGCAUCUCCCUCAUCCUCACUUGAUGAUUCUUUGUGUAAAGGGAGUCAGAGUGCAGAGAACAGCCCUCAAUUGCAGAUUUCUCUGGUCAACGUGUUUAUUCAAUUCAAAUCAUUUUAUUUUGUUCAGCUUUGCAAUCUGUAAACAUGCAACCUCCUGUCCUAAAACCCCCAAAAUGUAAAAAACCUUCAACCAGGAGAAACCUGAGGAGAAAACAGCAAGGCAGUAGGUUACAUCCAAUUCCUACGACAGAAAUGAUUCUAAUGUUGUGGAUUACUAAGCCAGGGGUAAGGCAGGACCAGUCCAGGGACAACCAUCAUCAGACGUAACCUCCAUCAGAUGCAACCACCACCCGCAGAAACCUGUGAGGUGGGAAAGCACAAAGGCAAAGUUGGUCAUUUGGGUUUAUGAUGACAGUAAUAAACUAGUAAUAAUAACAGCAGCAGGUGUGUUAGAACCCUAAUUUAUAGAUUGUUUACUUAUUACAUUAUCAACAAGAUAACAAUUCAUCUGCAACUUAUGGUAUUUCUGGAGUAACAUUUCCAGGUAUAUUACACAGUAU